Long non-coding RNA from Perognathus longimembris pacificus (Pacific pocket mouse), 200 nucleotides. RefSeq lists it as uncharacterized. NCBI's taxonomy places the organism in Eukaryota, Metazoa, Chordata, Mammalia, Rodentia, Heteromyidae. The transcript is spliced from 3 exons. The record is from RefSeq and is a predicted model, not a curated record.
CCCAGAACUCAGAUGGUGAUCUCACGGGGCUGGGGGAAUGGAAUCCAUUUAUUGAAUUUAAUGCGACUUUGGAGCGUGCCUUGCUAUUGGAUUGCAUCAAAGUUAUCAUUUUCCCCUUGAAUGUGAGUGGUUUUUUUUAAAUAGCCAUCCAUAAAAUCCCAGGGAGUAUACAUCUUAAUUAAAUUGAAAUAUUAAAUGUA